Non-coding RNA from Paramisgurnus dabryanus, 1628 nucleotides. The record is from RefSeq and is a predicted model, not a curated record. Lineage: Eukaryota; Metazoa; Chordata; Actinopteri; Cypriniformes; Cobitidae.
CUGCAUUCUAAAAGAAACCAUUACAAAAAUAAGGAAAAAUUAAUUUUACAAACUAUGUCAUAUGUUUUCUUUGUUUCCUCAAUAUAACUCUGAUUAGAAUGUCAAACAAAGAUAAAAUCAUCCGUAUUAAUCGUCAAUAUCGUGUAUAUUAUUAAUAUGAGCGUCUUUGCGUUAAAUUCGUGCUACACCACACCAUGCACUUAUAUCGACGUCGCAAUGCAAAAGAAGAAGGGCAAGAAAGAAACCUGUCCUGGUCUGGCGAUUUAAGGGAACAUUUGUUUAAGCCUGUCUAGAUCUUUUAUCAGUCUAGAAAGAUGUUGGAGAAAAGACAUCAUCCUCUUCUAUAAUCUCCAUCUGUAAUUGGACUAACAACUGAACCAGUGAAGGCAGGCAACUUACUCUCCAUUCGACCUUGCAGGUCACACCAUGGUCUCAAGAGUGAAAAUGAGUGCUCUAUGGAUUGAACAGAAAAGGUGAAUCAAAAUUCCAACCAUCUGUAUGAGGGUCUGGAUGGAUAAUGGAUGCCCACUGGAGCUGGAAAUGAUGGAUCAGGUGGAUCCACACUUGAACCAUCUGUAUGAUGAUCUGCACCCACUGGAUCUGUAAAUGGUGGUGCAGAAAGACACAGCACAUCAUUAUAUCGUUGGCUCCGCCCACUGGUGUUCAGUCUAAAGUAGUAGUUGUUGACAAUCAUAAAGUUGUAAUAACAGUAAGAUUGUGAUGUCAGACAAACAUUGUGCUGUUGCUGGCUGUGGGAAAUUAGUGUCUUUGUAAGGGUCGCAAAUAAUUUGAAAAUAUUUAUGUUUCUAAAUAUGCCCCCCUACCAUGAACUAAACUGGACUGUUGCAGAGACCAAGUGUAGUAGGGUACACUACUAUGCAGGUGACAUUCUUUUGUUUAUUGAAGCUAUGACAAAUAAUUUGUCUGUUUAGUUAAUGUUUUAUACAGUGUAACUGUACCUAAACAUUGUUCCUUGAGGUCCUCUGCUAUUUACAUUUUGUAUGUCUUCCUUAUUUAACACACCUUAUUCAAAUCAUCAGCUCAUUAGUAGAGAUCUUCAUGAACUGAACUGAGGCUGUGUCCAAAUGUUCACACUUGUUGUCUUUGCACUAGACUACUUACAUUACGUUUUUUUUUUUUUUGUAUUUGGCCUAAGUAUUCUAGUGGGCGUGAAGAUCCCAAGCGUGCAUGUAGAAUUAUUCAUCCGAUGGGACACACUUAGCAUGGGUAAAAAUUUCAAUCCAGGUAGUGCCAGCAAUUUGCACCAAAACGUAUUUGUGUUUUAUUUCCUACUUUUAAUUUAUAUUUAACAUUUUUAAGUUUUUCUGUAAAUAAAAUGAACACUCUGAAAUGAACAUUUGCUUAUAUCAAACUUUUAGAUGCAGAAUUCUUUGCUCCUGUAAAAAAGCUCUUUGUUUUGAGUAUGUAGCUUUAUUAAAGUGUAUUAUUUAUUCAGUAGUCCCUAAAUAAACGACACAAUGUUGCAGAUGUUUCACAAAAUGCAUAACAAUAGCAUACCACAAAGUGAUAUUUGGACGCAGCCUCAGUCUGUCAAAUCAAAGAGACAUACAGAAUGCACAGAGCAGUGGGACUCCAUGAACAGAGUUGAGAACCACUGCUGUAACUCA